CCCUUAGAUGUCCUGGGCCGCACGCGCGCUACACUGAUGCCUGCAACGAGUUUAUAACCUUGGCCUGAAAGGUCUGGGUAAUCUUUUGAACGUGCAUCGUGAUAGGGAUAGAUUAUUGCAAUUGUUAAUCUUGAACGAGGAAUUCCUAGUAAACGCGAGUCAUCAGCUCGCAUUGAUUACGUCCCUGCCCUUUGUACACACCGCCCGUCGCACCUACCGAUUGAAUGGUUCGGUGAAGAUCUCGGACUUCGAUAUUUAUUCUUUAUUGAGUUUAUAUUGUGGGAAGUUAUCUAAACCUCAUCAUUUAGAGGAAGGUGAAGUCGUAACA
RNAcentral lists this ribosomal RNA (328 nucleotides) under uncultured eukaryote. RNAcentral describes it as "partial 18S ribosomal RNA". It matches the Rfam family "Eukaryotic small subunit ribosomal RNA", at positions 1470 to 1796 of the family's 1831-position model. The record is from RNAcentral.